RNAcentral lists this ribosomal RNA (1185 nucleotides) under Triticum aestivum (bread wheat). RNAcentral's name for it is "partial small subunit ribosomal RNA". The record is from RNAcentral. Lineage: Eukaryota; Viridiplantae; Streptophyta; Magnoliopsida; Poales; Poaceae.
AUGGGCCUGCGACGGCGCCGCACCUAUCGCCCCAAACCUACCACGCCAUGGAUGACGAUGCCUGUCCGGUGGUCCGAUCUCCCCGACGAUCUCCUCCCCCUGAUCUACGUCAAGGUCGACAGCCUGCUCCAUCGCGUCCGCUUUGCUGCAGUGUGCAGAUCGUGGCGAGCGGCUGCGAUCAUGUCGCGUCAGGCGGCACCGCCCGUCCUCCCAUGGCUCAUCUUCUCCUCAGAUGGUGGCAAGUCGAGGCGCGCAUACUGCCCUGAGGAAGGUGGGAUUUUGCGCAUCCGGAUCCGAAGGCAAGUGCUCACCGGCAAGCGGUUCGUGGGAGCUCACGACGGGGGCUGGGUCGCUGCAAUAGGAGGCGAAUCGAAGCUUGUAAUCGUGAACCUCUUCUCGGGCACGGAGGUAUCCUUACCUGCAAGGAACGCAUACCCUACAUACAAGAUUGUCUUCUCGGAAUCCCCCGCCUCAAGUGGUUGCAUCCUUGCCGCCAUCAUGUCUCAAUACGGCGUCGCCGUAUGCCAGAUUGGUUGUCCGAACGGCACGUGGACGGUCAAACAAUUGGAUGGAUUAUUAUGCCUUAUGGACAUUGUAUUCUACAAUGGACACCUCUACGGCAUCACUUCCUUCGAGCAACUUCUCAAGUUCAAAAUCGGGGUGAACAAAGACGGCGUGCUAGCGUUCAUUGGUGAACCGCACCAACUCCAAAUCCGAAAGUGCAGCGGUCCUCCGGCGUAUCGACGCUACAUCAUUGAACUGCAAGGCAAGCUGGUGAUGGUGGCGAGGAGCUACUCACGACGCAUCAACUCUGAGCCUAUCUUCAAGGUGUUUGAGCUUGCUGACAAAGCGACUACAGAAUACACUCAUCAGUGGGAGGAGUUAAUGACCUUGGGUGAUUAUGCCUUAUUUUUGGGGGCAAAGUCAUCCAAGGCGGUGUACGUGCCAGCGUCUGGGCACGACGGAGUGCAGAGAAGUUGCAUCUAUGCUGACGACAUGAAAUACUUGACGCAAUUGGACGGUCAUGGUGAUUGUGUAUAUCCUGUGCAAGAUAAAAGCAGUCACCACGCCAGACACAUGAUCAAAUCAGCAGGUUCGUAUGUAGCUGCCGGUGCUGAUACAAGUGGCAUGUGGGUUUUCCCUCCGAAUUUCUGGGCGGCCAAUAGUAGACAAGCGCGACAUCUU